RNAcentral lists this ribosomal RNA (492 nucleotides) under uncultured bacterium. RNAcentral describes it as "partial 16S ribosomal RNA". It matches the Rfam family "Bacterial small subunit ribosomal RNA", at positions 29 to 507 of the family's 1533-position model. The record is from RNAcentral.
AGUGAACGCUGGCGGUAGGCCUAACACAUGCAAGUCGAACGGCAGCACAGUAAGAGCUUGCUCUUACGGGUGGCGAGUGGCGGACGGGUGAGGAAUACAUCGGAAUCUACUUUUUCGUGGGGGAUAACGUAGGGAAACUUACGCUAAUACCGCAUACGACCUACGGGUGAAAGCAGGGGAUCUUCGGACCUUGCGCGAUUGAAUGAGCCGAUGUCGGAUUAGCUAGUUGGCGGGGUAAAGGCCCACCAAGGCGACGAUCCGUAGCCGGUCUGAGAGGAUGAUCAGCCACACUGGAACUGAGACACGGUCCAGACUCCUACGGGAGGCAGCAGUGGGGAAUAUUGGACAAUGGGCGCAAGCCUGAUCCAGCCAUACCGCGUGGGUGAAGAAGGCCUUCGUGUUGUAAAGCCCUUUUGUUGGGAAAGAAAAGCAGCAGGUUAAUACCCCGCUGUUCUGACGGUACCCAAAGAAUAAGCACCGGCUAACUUCGUG